This 488-nucleotide long non-coding RNA is filed under the name Medicago truncatula (barrel medic). Its description in RNAcentral is "long non-coding RNA (MTRU_LNC006705)". Lineage: Eukaryota; Viridiplantae; Streptophyta; Magnoliopsida; Fabales; Fabaceae. The record is from RNAcentral.
CUAUAUGUCAUAAUUAUUCACGUUUUCCAUCUUUCUUUUGACAUAAUUUAUUGUUUAGUGUUGUUCCAUGACACCCCCAAAUCUAUCUGUGCUUCUGUUUUUUUCAUUUGAACUGAAUUGAUGUAGAUAUGACACUAAGAACUUUGGUUAACUUAAUUCAAUUACAAAUAUAGUUGAAAAUUAUAUACAAGUUGCAGGGUGGUUUUUGUAACCAUUCAUGACAUAAAUAUUGAAUACAGGUGACCGAAUGACACUAAGAACUUUGGUUAACUUAAUUCAAUUACAAAUAUAGUUGUAAAUUAUAUACAAGUUGCAGGGUGGUUUUUGUAACCAUUCAUGACAUAAAUAUUGAAUACAGGUGACCGAAUGGAAUCUAAUGAAGAUAGGUGAACUGACUGCAAUGGUUCUUCGUUUCUCUCGUCACGGGGACCAUAGUUUUGUUAUAUAACUUACAAGUUUGUCUAGGAUUUUUUAGAAUGAUAAAUUAG